UACGUAGGGUGCAAGCGUUGUCCGGAAUUAUUGGGCGUAAAGAGCUCGUAGGCGGCUAGUCGCGUCGGCUGUGAAAACCUGGGGCUCAACCCCGGGCCUGCAGACGAUACGGGCUAGCUAGAAUUCGGUAGGGGAGACUGGAAUUCCUGGUGUAGCGGUGAAAUGCGCAGAUAUCAGGAGGAACACCAAUGGCGAAGGCAGCUCGCUGGGACGGUACUGACGCUGAGACGCGAAAGCGUGGGGAGCAAACAGG
This 253-nucleotide ribosomal RNA is filed under the name uncultured bacterium. RNAcentral's name for it is "partial 16S ribosomal RNA". It matches the Rfam family "Bacterial small subunit ribosomal RNA", at positions 524 to 776 of the family's 1533-position model. The record is from RNAcentral.